This 545-nucleotide long non-coding RNA is filed under the name Musa acuminata (dwarf banana). Its description in RNAcentral is "long non-coding RNA (MACU_LNC000243)". The record is from RNAcentral. Lineage: Eukaryota; Viridiplantae; Streptophyta; Magnoliopsida; Zingiberales; Musaceae.
AAGCCCUCCCGCCGAGCCGCCCCUCGUGCCAACCUCAGGUCUACCGCCGUGGUUGCAAAGUACGGUGAGAAGAGCGUGUACUUCGACCUCGAGGACCUCGGGAACACCACCGGCCAGUGGGACCUCUACGGCUCCGACGGCCCCUCGCCUUACAACCCUCUCCAGGUAGGCGACAUGGUCCAAUCUCGCAUCGCCGCUUCCGUUUCGGGAUGAGUCGUGUUUCGAUUGAUGCCGAUGAGUCGUUUGUCGAAUUGCAGAGCAAGUUCUUCGAGACUUUCGCAGCUCCUUUCACUAAAAGGGGUUUGUUGCUCAAGUUCCUGCUGCUGGGUGGCGGCUCCACCAUAGCCUACCUGGGAGCCACCUCCUCGGGCGACGUACUGCCAAUCAAGAAGGGGCCUCAGCUGCCACCUACUCCUGGGCCGCGCGGCAAGAUAUAGGUGAUUUGUGUGAACAUCAAUCAAACAUGCUCGAUUAUUUUCUCAUCUGUAUUGUCGAUAUCUACCUGUUUGAUCAUCUUCCCAUGUAACACCUGAACCUUUGUACCC